GACCCCUUCGUCUAGCGGUUAGGACACAUCCCUUUCACGGAUGCGACACGAGUUCGAUUCUCGUAGGGGUCG
This 72-nucleotide transfer RNA is filed under the name Prosthecobacter dejongeii. It matches the Rfam family "tRNA". Rfam says of the family: Transfer RNA (tRNA) molecules are approximately 80 nucleotides in length. Their secondary structure includes four short double-helical elements and three loops (D, anti-codon, and T loops). Further hydrogen bonds mediate the characteristic L-shaped molecular structure. tRNAs have two regions of fundamental functional importance: the anti-codon, which is responsible for specific mRNA codon recognition, and the 3' end, to which the tRNAs corresponding amino acid is attached (by aminoacyl-tRNA synthetases). tRNAs cope with the degeneracy of the genetic code in two manners: having more than one tRNA (with a specific anti-codon) for a particular amino acid; and 'wobble' base-pairing, i.e. permitting non-standard base-pairing at the 3rd anti-codon position. The record is from Rfam by way of RNAcentral. Lineage: Bacteria; Pseudomonadati; Verrucomicrobiota; Verrucomicrobiia; Verrucomicrobiales; Verrucomicrobiaceae. RNAcentral also lists the same sequence under 2 other names.